This 254-nucleotide ribosomal RNA is filed under the name uncultured bacterium. RNAcentral describes it as "partial 16S ribosomal RNA". It matches the Rfam family "Bacterial small subunit ribosomal RNA", at positions 524 to 776 of the family's 1533-position model. The record is from RNAcentral.
UACGUAGGGGGCAAGCGUUGUCCGGAUUUAUUGGGCGUAAAGAGCUCGUAGGCGGUUUGGCAAGUCAGAUGUGAAAUCUCCAGGCUCAACCUGGAGGGGUCAUCUGAUACUGCCAUGACUAGAGGUCGGUAGGGGAGUGUGGAAUUCCUGGUGGAGCGGUGAAAUGCGCAGAUAUCAGGAGGAACACCGGUGGCGAAGGCGCCACUCUGGGCCGAAACUGACGCUGAGGAGCGAAAGCGUGGGUAGCAAACAGG